This 1906-nucleotide long non-coding RNA is filed under the name Carica papaya (papaya). Its description in RNAcentral is "long non-coding RNA (CPAP_LNC006706)". The record is from RNAcentral. Lineage: Eukaryota; Viridiplantae; Streptophyta; Magnoliopsida; Brassicales; Caricaceae.
CGAUUUAUACUCGUGUGUAUAUAUAACGGGAAUGACUGUCUUAGUUUUUUGCAAUCAAUCGUUAAUUAACGUACAUAUAUAGAUACAUCCAUAUAUAUACACGAGUAUAUACACCCAUAGGCCCAACCCCAACACCUGUAACGCAGUAAGUGAACUUAGUACGAAGAGGGGAGAGGAAACUUGAGUGGAGAAGGAGAGUGGCGGAGUUGGAGAGAGAAAGAGAGGGGAAAGCGAGAAAAGAUAGAAAGAAAGAUAAUUAGAGGAAACGGUGAGAUCGAAGGGGGAGGGUGAACAGUAAGCGAACUUACCAUAACACCAUUGUUGACGCGGGGAGAGGAAGGAGAGAUCGCGUUGAAUCAUCGUUACACAGAUCCGAGAGGUAAGUAUCAUUUGGUCUUCACGGCUGGAGUAGAAUUUUAUAUGCUAAGUUCUUUGUGAUUUCUUCGUUUGUGUUCGGAGUGAUACGGAACGGAUUCGGGAGUAAGAUCUGGGAGGCGUAAAUAAUUGUGUUAAAAUUGAUAAUAAUAACAGAGAAGAAAGAAGAGAGGAACGGAGUAAAAGUUGGGGAGAAGGGGCUCGGAACUGGGGGAUUUUUAUUGGAUGGGUUUAGAAAGUUGUUGAACAUGGGAAAAAUUAUAUGAUUAAUGAAGCCUGGACAUAGAGAGAAAAGAAAAAUGGCUAACCGAACCGAUUAAGAGAAGAGAGGGGGAAGAGGAAAAUUGAGAUGUGCGUCGAUAUAUAUAUAUAUAUAUAUAUAAUUGCUUGGUGAAUACUGUUUAGACAGGGAUGUGCGUCGAUAUGUAUAUACAUAAUUGCUUGUCGUUUAGACAGGCUUGGUUAUCCUCAUACUGUUAAUGCGAAUUAAAGCUCAUGUUUACUUUACAGUAAUUAGGUUUAUUGUAACCAUGUGUUUGUUGUGCUUAAAUGGUGUAAGAAUUUCCAUACAGCAGACCCAAUGCUGGGUCGAGGGGUCGGUGCCCGAGUGUGUGAUUGGCAUUGACAUGUCGUUGGGGGCAAUCGAAAUAGUUGUGGUUCUGUGAUCCAGAGAUGGGGGGAAUGUGGGAGUCUGUUGUGGCCUUGUGGUUGGGGUCGAGGGGGCAAUGCCCGAGUACGCGAUUGGCAUUGAUAUGCCGUUGGGGGUAAUUGAAAUAAUUAUCGUUCUGUGAUCCAGAGGUGAAGGAAUAAGGGCCUAACAUUGGGUCGAGGGGUCGGUGCCCGAGUGUGUGAUUGGCGUUGAUAUGCUGUUGGUGGGUAAUUGUAAUAGUUGUGGCUCUGUGAUCCAGAGAUGGGGGGAAUAUGGGAGUCUGUUGUGGCCCAGUGGUUGGGUCGAGGGGGCAAUGCUCGAGUACGUGAUUGGCGUUGAUAUAUCAUUGGGGGCAAUCAAAAUAAUUAUCAUUCUGUGAUCCAGAGGUGAAGGAAUAAGGGCCUAACAUUGGGUCGAGGGGUCGGUGCCCGAGUGUGUGAUUGGCGUUGAUAUGCUGUUGGUGGGUAACUGUUAUAGUUGUGGUUCUGUGAUCCAGAGAUGGGGGGAAUAUGGAAGUCUGUUGUGGCCCAGUGGUUGGGUCGAGGGGUUGAUGCCUCGGGAACUAAUUAUUUAUUUGUUUUAUUCUUUCUUCUUACGUUUGAUCACUUUCCUCUUUUCCUUUCUGUUUGAAACCUUAGUAUAUCUGAUGUCUGUAACUGGUGAGGGGGUGAAUAUCUAGUGGCUUAGGAGCCGUGGUAAGGUUGUAAAUAUGUCAAGAGGGAAGCUAGUUCGAGGGAAGUAUGGGCUGAACUAAAGUGAGAGACGUAAGGAGUUUGGCGAGAGUGUUCUGAAUACCUCGACCGACAGUGGGGCUCUGUUGGGCAAGCUUGGGAAGUUUGAGGAGAGAUUUACAGUGGAGGUUAGAGUAAGAUACUGGGCNNN